This 424-nucleotide ribosomal RNA is filed under the name Verrucomicrobiota bacterium. RNAcentral describes it as "Verrucomicrobia bacterium partial 16S ribosomal RNA". It matches the Rfam family "Bacterial small subunit ribosomal RNA", at positions 355 to 776 of the family's 1533-position model. Lineage: Bacteria; Pseudomonadati; Verrucomicrobiota. The record is from RNAcentral.
UGAGGAAUAUUGGUCAAUGGGCGAGAGCCUGAACCAGCCAAGUAGCGUGCAGGAUGACGGCCCUAUGGGUUGUAAACUGCUUUUAUAUGGGAAUAAAGUGAGGGACGUGUCCCUUAUUGCAUGUACCAUACGAAUAAGGACCGGCUAAUUCCGUGCCAGCAGCCGCGGUAAUACGGAAGGUCCAGGCGUUAUCCGGAUUUAUUGGGUUUAAAGGGAGCGUAGGCUGUUUGUUAAGCGUGUUGUGAAAUGUAGGAGCUCAACUUUUAGAUUGCAGCGCGAACUGGCAGACUUGAGUGCGCACAACGUAGGCGGAAUUCAUGGUGUAGCGAUGAAAUGCUUAGAUAUCAUGACGAACUCCGAUUGCGAAGGCAGCUUACGGGAGCGCAACUGACGCUAAAGCUCGAAGGUGCGGGUAUCGAACAGG